GCCUUCGAGUUUCUCUCAGCAAGACCUCUAACUCUAAGGAAUUAAAAGAUAAUCAUGAUGAACCUUGACUGAAAGACAGGAUGAGGCCGCCGAGGAAUCAACACCUUCUGGCUUCUUUGAGCACCAGGAAUAGCAUAUGCUGCACAGACAUACAUACAGGUUCUCCACUGAGGCCCAGUGGUCUUUACAUGCAACAUCUGUAUCUCUGUCCACACUCCACUAUACCUCCAGGAUGUCCUCCUUCGACUGAGAAGAGCCCUGUCCUACAAGCAUGCUAAGCACCAGGCCGGUUGCUCUUACCUGCCUCCCUCAGAUGAGCCGACUCCCAGGUAAGUCCUGUUACUUCCUGGUCUCUCUUGCGGUAUGAGGUCUCA
Molecule: non-coding RNA, 374 nt
Organism: Cricetulus griseus (Chinese hamster)
Lineage: Eukaryota; Metazoa; Chordata; Mammalia; Rodentia; Cricetidae
Source: RefSeq, a predicted model, not a curated record